AGCGAACGCUGGCGGCAGGCCUAACACAUGCAAGUCGAACGAACCUUUCGGGGUUAGUGGCGGACGGGUGAGUAACACGUGGGAACGUGCCUUUAGGUUCGGAAUAACUCAGGGAAACUUGUGCUAAUACCGAAUGUGCCCUUCGGGGGAAAGAUUAAUCGCCUUUAGAGCGGCCCGCGUCUGAUUAGCUAGUUGGUUGAGGUAAUGGCUCACCAAGGCGACGAUCAGUAGCUGGUCUGAGAGGAUGAUCAGCCACAUUGGGACUGAGACACGGCCCGAACUCCUACGGGAGGCAGCAGUGGGGAAUCUUGCGCAAUGGGCGAAAGCCUGACGCAGCCAUGCCGCGUGAAUGAUGAAGGUCUUAGGAUUGUAAAAUUCUUUCACCGGGGACGAUAAUGACGGUACCCGGAGAAGAAGCCCCGGCUAACUUCGUG
This 434-nucleotide ribosomal RNA is filed under the name uncultured bacterium. RNAcentral describes it as "partial 16S ribosomal RNA". It matches the Rfam family "Bacterial small subunit ribosomal RNA", at positions 29 to 507 of the family's 1533-position model. The record is from RNAcentral.